RNAcentral lists this unclassified non-coding RNA (1665 nucleotides) under Sipha flava (yellow sugarcane aphid). RNAcentral describes it as "heterogeneous nuclear ribonucleoprotein 87F-like, transcript variant X1". The record is from RNAcentral. Lineage: Eukaryota; Metazoa; Arthropoda; Insecta; Hemiptera; Aphididae.
UGCAUACCGACCACCAUCUUGUAAUGCCGACGGGGAACAACACUUUUCGUCCUGGGACCGUAUUAUUGACUUAUUUACUGAAUAGUUUCUUGACUUUUGUGUUGUGUUCGUGAAUCUUUAACUAUUAUUAAUUAAUUUUUCAUCACAUUUAUUCGUUUUAUAUUAGUUACUUUAAGUAAACUACACGUUAAUUUGUAUUACUGUUUUUGCUUUUGUUCGUGUUACGAAUUACUUCAUCAGCCAUGGGAUCAGACGAACCAGAACAGUACAGAAAGUUAUUCAUUGGUGGUUUGAACUAUACCACAACUAAUGACUCCCUUAAAGAUUUUUUCGAGCAGUGGGGUGAAAUAGUGGAUGUUGUUGUCAUGAAAGACCCUCAAACUAAAAGAUCUCGAGGAUUUGGAUUUAUUACUUAUUCACAGUCGUCAAUGGUGGACCAAGCCAUGUCAAAUAGACCUCAUAAAAUUGAUGGUCGUGAAGUGGAAACCAAACGUGCUGUUCCACGUGAUGAUAUUGAUAAACCUGAUAUUGCUGCUACUGUCAAAAAAAUGUUUGUAUCUGGUAUUAAAGAACAAUCAGAAUCUGAUCUUCUUGAUUAUUUUGGCAAGUUUGGAAAUAUCACUAAUGUUACUAUAGUAACUGAUAAAGAUUCUGGCCAAAAAAAAGGCUUUGGUUUCAUUGAAUAUGAUGAUACAGAUUCUGUUGACAAAGCUGUUUUGAUUAAAAGUCAUCAAGUUGCUGGAGGAAAAUUAGAUGUGAAGAAAGCUAUUAGCCGUAGUGAUGGUGGUGGCGGUGGCCGUGGAGGACGAGGUGGUCGUGGUGGUGGAGGAAGUGGCAACAGGAAUAACUGGGGUGCCAAUCCUAGAAACGAUCAGUGGGGUGGUGGACACCAUAAUAGAUCAAAUGGCGGUGGUGGUUAUGGAAAUUCUGGAAUGGGUGGAGGUUAUGGAUCUGGUGGAGGAGGGUAUGGUGGCAACGCAGGUGGAUACAAUUCUAACUCUGGUGGAGCAUGGCAAGGAGGUGGUGCUCCUCAAAGUUGGGGCAACAAUAAUCCAGCCUGGGGCAAUCAAGGAGGUGGCGGUGGAGAUGGUUGGGGAAAUUCACAACAACCAAGUAACAAUUGGGGAGGUCCUAAUCAAAGUUAUGGUGGUGGCGGUGGCCCAAUGAGGUCAAACUAUACCUCUAACAACCGUUCUACACCUUAUGGAAACCCAGGUAGAGCUGGUAAUGUUAAUACUGGUAAUGCUGGUGGCUAUGGUCAAAAUCCUGGUCGGCGAUAUUAAAAACUUUCUCACCUUAAAGGUUGAUCAACAAUUGAAUAUCAUGAAAAAUCAGUGUGAAGUGCAUUCAUCGUGUAUGCUCCUUUUAUAUGUAUGAUGAAUACAUGAGAACAAUAGUGAAAAAGAAAAAGACUACUUUGAAUCACGAUCAUUUUCAUAUUAAGGUGACAACCUAACCUAAGCGUCACAUCACAGAAGAACUCGAGGCCUCAAGCUCUUUAAAUUUGAGAAGCUUGAAAUAAUACUGAACAGUGAAUUUACCAGUUAUGGUUGCAAACCUAAUGUGAACAUUCAUGAAGAUAGAAGAAACCAUGAAUGGUAUAUUAAAAAUGCAUUGAUGACAUUUUGUUUUGUUUUUAUUUAAAUAAAAAAAAAAAAAACAAUU